UCCUGCCCUUCUUUUAUUCUACUCUAUAUUACAGCCAACCACAUUUCCAGGCUCCCUUGUCCUCUGCUAUCUAGAUCUGUAUGCAAGAAGAAAUGAAAAAGAUGAACAGGCAAAGGCCAGGACUACCUACCACAACUCAGGAGUUGCCUUGGGAUCCACAAAGAAGUUGAGGUGGUCCAGUACUCAUAAGGCAACAAACUUCAAAGGAGAGUCAAAUGUACAUUUUCAAAACAAGAGUACUGAAAAACAUUGAAAUAAACACACAAAAAGAGAUUCAAAUGUACAUCUUAAAAGGAGGAGGAGAUUCUUUGAAGAAGUAGGGGAAUAUGACGUUGAAAGUCUCUGAAGAGGUUAUGAUAGUUGUUUAAGGGAGUAGAACAUUAAAACAUUUUUGUCUGUUCAAUCUUAAUUUUUAAAAGUGAUAGCAUAGAGUUUGGCCAGUUAUGGAGGGGCUGAUUUCAUCACUGUCAAUGAGCAGUAAACUUUCUUAGUCUUUUAUUUGGGAAAUGUAUCUAUUUUACUUUCACUUUUGAAUGAGACUUAGCUGAUGCAAUGGACUGAAUUGUGUUCCUCCAGAAUUUGUAUGUUGAAGCUCUAAUGGCAAAUGUGACUGUAUUUGGAGGCAGGGCCUUUAAAGAGGUAAUUAAGGUUAACUAAGGUCAUAAGGAUGGGGCCUAACCCAAUAUCACUGUCCUUAUAAGAAGAGACACCUGGGAUGCGUUUGCACAGAGAAAAGGCCCCAGGAAGACACUGCAAGAAGAGGGUGCUCUUCAAGUGAAGGAGAAACCAAACCUACUAACACUUUGAUCUUUGACUUCUGGGCUCCAUAACUGUCAAAAAUAAGCUUCUGUUAUUUAAGCCACCUAGUUUGAGGUAUUUUGUUAUGGCGGCCCUAGAAAACCAAAUACAGCUGGGUAUAGAAUUCUAGGUUGAUGAUUUUGCUUUUAUAGUAUUUUUAUAGUAUUUUGAGAUGUGUGUCU
Nomascus leucogenys (northern white-cheeked gibbon) is the source of this 980-nucleotide long non-coding RNA. RefSeq lists it as uncharacterized. Lineage: Eukaryota; Metazoa; Chordata; Mammalia; Primates; Hylobatidae. The record is from RefSeq and is a predicted model, not a curated record. The transcript has 3 exons.